This 81-nucleotide transfer RNA is filed under the name Gemmatimonadota bacterium. RNAcentral's name for it is "tRNA-Leu". It matches the Rfam family "tRNA". Rfam says of the family: Transfer RNA (tRNA) molecules are approximately 80 nucleotides in length. Their secondary structure includes four short double-helical elements and three loops (D, anti-codon, and T loops). Further hydrogen bonds mediate the characteristic L-shaped molecular structure. tRNAs have two regions of fundamental functional importance: the anti-codon, which is responsible for specific mRNA codon recognition, and the 3' end, to which the tRNAs corresponding amino acid is attached (by aminoacyl-tRNA synthetases). tRNAs cope with the degeneracy of the genetic code in two manners: having more than one tRNA (with a specific anti-codon) for a particular amino acid; and 'wobble' base-pairing, i.e. permitting non-standard base-pairing at the 3rd anti-codon position. The record is from RNAcentral. Lineage: Bacteria; Pseudomonadati; Gemmatimonadota.
GCGAAAGUGGCGGAACUGGUAGACGCGCCAGACUUAGGAUCUGGUGGCUAUGCCGUGGGGGUUCGAGUCCCCCCUUUCGCA